CCUACGGUGUGCUGCAGUGGGGAAUAUUGGGCAAUGGGCGCAAGCCUGACCCAGCAACGCCGCGUGAAGGAAGAAGGCCCUCGGGUUGUAAACUUCUUUUAUUCGGGACGAAACAAAUGACGGUACCGAAUGAAUAAGCCACGGCUAACUCCGUGCCAGCAGCCGCGGUAAUACGGAGGAUCCGAGCGUUAUCCGGAUUUAUUGGGUUUAAAGGGUGCGUAGGCGGAAUAUCAAGUCAGCGGUAAAAAUUCGGGGCUCAACCCCGGCCUGCCGUCGGAACUGGGUGCCUUGAGGGGGCGAGAAGUAUGCGGAAUGCGUGGUGUAGCGGGGAAAGGCAUAGAUAUCACGCAGAACCCCGAGUGCGAAGGAAGCAUACCGGCGCCCUACUGACGCUGAGGCACGAAAGUGCGGGUAUCGAACAGGAUUAGAGACCCUAGUAGUC
Molecule: ribosomal RNA, 442 nt
Filed under: uncultured bacterium
Lineage: Bacteria
Description: partial 16S ribosomal RNA
Rfam family: Bacterial small subunit ribosomal RNA
Source: RNAcentral